GCUCGCUCUGGCAGAGCAUUUACUACAAUUGAAAUGACGUGGAGAAGGUCGGUUUGGGCUCUGCACAAGGAUGACAUGCAAAUUCACGAGGCGUUCCAUAUUUGA
Molecule: non-coding RNA, 105 nt
Organism: Mustela putorius furo (domestic ferret)
Lineage: Eukaryota; Metazoa; Chordata; Mammalia; Carnivora; Mustelidae
Source: Rfam